This 336-nucleotide ribosomal RNA is filed under the name Triticum aestivum (bread wheat). RNAcentral's name for it is "partial small subunit ribosomal RNA". Lineage: Eukaryota; Viridiplantae; Streptophyta; Magnoliopsida; Poales; Poaceae. The record is from RNAcentral.
AUGGCCGCGGCUGCGGGGAGCGGCGGCGUGGUGAAGCACCUCGUCCUCGCGCGGUUCAAGGAGGAGGCGACGCCGGAGGCGCUGGACCAGCUCAUCCGCCGCUACGCCGGCCUCGUCGACGCCGUCCCCUCCAUGAAGGCAUUCCACUGGGGAACCGAUGUGACCGUGCUAGACACGCACGAAGGGUUCACGCACGUCUUCGAGUCCACUUUUGAAAGCGCAGAGGGAGUCAAGGAGUACAUUGCACACCCAUCACAUGUAGAGUUUGUAGAUGAAUUCUUGGCUUUGGCGGAGAAAAUGCUCAUAGUGGAUUACAAGCCGGCAGCUACCAAUUAG